This 552-nucleotide ribosomal RNA is filed under the name uncultured archaeon. RNAcentral describes it as "bacterial SSU rRNA". It matches the Rfam family "Archaeal small subunit ribosomal RNA", at positions 326 to 879 of the family's 1478-position model. The record is from RNAcentral.
CGGGGUGCAGCAGGCGCGAAAACUUUACAAUGCCGGCAACGGCGAUAAGGGAACCUCGAGUGCCAGGUUACAAAUCUGGCUGUCGUGAUGCCUAAAAAGCAUUGCAUAGCAAGGGCCGGGCAAGACCGGUGCCAGCCGCCGCGGUAACACCGGCGGCCCGAGUGGUAACCGUUAUUAUUGGGUCUAAAGGGUCUGUAGCCGGCCGGGUAAGUCUCUUGGGAAAUCUGGCAGCUUAACUGUCAGGCUUUCAGGAGAUACUGCCUGGCUCGAGGCCGGGAGAGGUGAGAGGUACUUCAGGGGUAGGGGUGAAAUCUUGUAAUCCUCGAAGGACCACCAGUGGCGAAGGCGUCUCACCAGAACGGACCUGACGGCAAGGGACGAAAGCUAGGGGCACGAACCGGAUUAGAUACCCGGGUAGUCCUAGCCGUAAACGAUACUCGCUAGGUGUCGGCCACGGUGCGACCGUGGUCGGUGCCGUAGGGAAGCCGUGAAGCGAGCCACCUGGGAAGUACGGCCGCAAGGCUGAAACUUAAAGGAAUUGGCGGGGAGCAC